AUGUGCCAGUGUCUCAGCCUAAGCGCCAGCAGCACAAUGACAAAGGCGAGGAAGACGCAGGAGACCGCGGCCACCGCCACCACCAGGUACAGAGUAGCGGAUCUGGCUCGCCCCCGUCUCCCACAGCCUCCCUAGGAAAAGGCACAACAGGAAGAGUCUUCUGCGGUGCAGGCUAUUCCUUGGAGCGGCCAUUGUUGCUUCACUCAAGGAGAAACCCGUAGUGCCCCAAGUUCAGAGGCUGAGUUACUCUUGCAGCCCCGAGAGUCUGUCUGUGGGAUCCGAGCGGCUUUGUGGAGUUUUAGACCCUAAUACCGGGACCGAAAGCUGACUGAGCUUUUCUUAGAGUUGGUGAACAGCGGCGCUCAGAGUCCUUAGCCGUUACUACACCCACUGAGAUGCGAAAUACUUUUGCUAUAGAUGACUGACAAAACACUACUCUCUUACCGUUGUGAUUUUAGAUUUCUCUGUGUCAUGCAUUUAUAUUUCAAAAGCAAUGACCAUUUGUGGGUAUUUUAGUUGGAAAUAAGGUGACAUGAAACUUCUAUUAAAUGUCAUUAAUAUCACACAA
Odocoileus virginianus texanus is the source of this 568-nucleotide non-coding RNA. The record is from RefSeq and is a predicted model, not a curated record. Lineage: Eukaryota; Metazoa; Chordata; Mammalia; Artiodactyla; Cervidae.